UUUGGGCGCUUGAGAGAACUCUGGAGAAGGAACUCGGCAAAUUGACACCGUAACUUCGGAAGAAGGUGUGCCUCUAGUAGGUGAAGGCGUACAGCUGGAGCCCAAUGAGGUCUCAGAAAAUCGGUGGCUGCGACUGUUUAUUAAAAACACAGCACUCUGCAAACACGAAAGUGGACGUAUAGGGUGUGACGCCUGCCCGGUGCCGGAAGGUUAAACGAUGGGGUGCAAGCUCCUGAUUGAAGCCCCGGUAAACGGCGGCCGUAACAAUAACGGUCCUAAGGUAGCGAAAUUCCUUGUCGGGUAAGUUCCGACCUGCACGAAUGGCGUAACGCUGGCCACACUGUCUCCUCCAGAGACUCAGCGAAGUUGAAAUGGUUGUGAUGAUGCAAUCUACCCGCGGCUAGACGGAAAGACCCCGUGCACCUUUACUGUAACUUUGCAUUGGACUGUGAACCGAUCUGUGUAGGAUAGCUGGGAGGCUUUGAAGUGGGGGCGCUAGCUCUCAUGGAGCCAACGUUGAAAUACCAGCCUGAUUGUUUUGCGGUUCUAACCUAGGCUCGUCAUCCGGGCCGGGGAUCGUGCAUGGUAGGCAGUUUGACUGGGGCGGUCUCCUCCCAAAGAGUAACGGAGGAGUACGAAGGUGCGCUUACCACGGUCGGAAAUCGUGGCUUAAUGUGCAUAGGCAAAAGCGCGCUUGACUGCGAGACGUACAUGUCGAGCAGGUGCGAAAGCAGGUCUAAGUGAUCCGGUGGUUCUGUAUGGAAGGGCCAUCGCUCAACGGAUAAAAGGUACGCCGGGGAUAACAGGCUGAUUCCUCCCAAGAGUUCAUAUCGACGGGGGAGUUUGGCACCUCGAUGUCGGCUCAUCACAUCCUGGGGCUGUAGCCGGUCCCAAGGGUAUGGCUGUUCGCCAUUUAAAGUGGUACGUGAGCUGGGUUUAAAACGUCGUGAGACAGUUUGGUCCCUAUCUACCGCGGGCGUUGGAAGUUUGAGGGGGGCUGCUCCUAGUACGAGAGGACCGGAGUGGACGCAUCCCUGGUGUACCGAUUGUCACGCCAGUGGCAUUGUCGGGUAGCUAUAUGCGGAAGGGAUAACCGCUGAAAGCAUCUAAGCGGGAAACCUGCCCAAGAUGAGACUUCCCGGAGGCUUGACCUCCCUAAAGGGUCGUCCGAGACCAGGACGUUGAUAGGCUGGGUGUGCAAGGGCCGUGAGGCCUUCAGCUAACCAGUACUAAUUGCCCGUGUGGCUUGACCCG
RNAcentral lists this ribosomal RNA (1254 nucleotides) under metagenome. Its description in RNAcentral is "bacterial LSU rRNA". It matches the Rfam family "Bacterial large subunit ribosomal RNA", at positions 1681 to 2925 of the family's 2925-position model. The record is from RNAcentral.